Molecule: ribosomal RNA, 495 nt
Filed under: uncultured bacterium
Lineage: Bacteria
Description: bacterial SSU rRNA
Rfam family: Bacterial small subunit ribosomal RNA
Source: RNAcentral
UACGGGAGGCAGCAGUGGGGAAUAUUGCACAAUGGGCGCAAGCCUGAUGCAGCCAUGCCGCGUGUAUGAAGAAGGCCUUCGGGUUGUAAAGUACUUUCAGUCGUGAGGAAGGUGUUAAGGUUAAUAACCUUAGCAAUUGACGUUAGCGACAGAAGAAGCACCGGCUAACUCCGUGCCAGCAGCCGCGGUAAUACGGAGGGUGCGAGCGUUAAUCGGAAUUACUGGGCGUAAAGGGCACGCAGGCGGUUAAUUAAGUUGGAUGUGAAAUCCCCGGGCUUAACCUGGGAAUGGCAUUCAAGACUGGUUAGCUAGAGUCUUGUAGAGGGGGUAGAAUUCCAUGUGUAGCGGUGAAAUGCGUAGAGAUGUGGAGGAAUACCGGUGGCGAAGGCGGCCCCUGGGACAAAGACUGACGCUCAUGUGCGAAAGCGUGGGGAGCAAACGAGGAUUAAAUACCUCUGGAAGAACUACCAAGGCAACAACGGAAGGGGAAUAAGG